CGUGCGUAGGCGGCUUGGUAGGUGAGAUGUGAAAGCCCACGGCUCAACCGUGGAAUUGCGUUUCACACCCCCAAGCUCGAGGAAGAUAGGGGUGAUGGGAACUUAUGGUGGAGCGGUGAAAUGCGUUGGUAUCAUAGGGAACACCGGUGGCGAAAGCGCAUCACUGGAUCUUUUCUGACGCUGAGGCACGAAAGCUAGGGUAGCGAACGGGAUUAGAUACCCCGGUAGUCCUAGCCGUAAACGAUGAACACUG
RNAcentral lists this ribosomal RNA (253 nucleotides) under uncultured Planctomycetota bacterium. RNAcentral's name for it is "uncultured planctomycete partial 16S ribosomal RNA". It matches the Rfam family "Bacterial small subunit ribosomal RNA", at positions 567 to 818 of the family's 1533-position model. The record is from RNAcentral. Lineage: Bacteria; Pseudomonadati; Planctomycetota.